UACGUAGGGUGCGAGCGUUAAUCGGAAUUACUGGGCGUAAAGCGUGCGCAGGCGGUUUUGCAAGCCGGAUGUGAAAUCCCCGGGCUUAACCUGGGAAUGGCAUUUGGGACUGCAAGGCUGGAGUGUGGCAGAGGAGACUGGAAUUCCUGGUGUAGCAGUGAAAUGCGUAGAUAUCAGGAGGAAUACCGAUGGCGAAGGCAGGUCUCUGGGCUGACACUGACGCUCAUGCACGAAAGCGUGGGGAGCAAACAGG
This 253-nucleotide ribosomal RNA is filed under the name uncultured bacterium. Its description in RNAcentral is "partial 16S ribosomal RNA". It matches the Rfam family "Bacterial small subunit ribosomal RNA", at positions 524 to 776 of the family's 1533-position model. The record is from RNAcentral.